RNAcentral lists this ribosomal RNA (748 nucleotides) under uncultured bacterium. Its description in RNAcentral is "bacterial SSU rRNA". It matches the Rfam family "Bacterial small subunit ribosomal RNA", at positions 28 to 776 of the family's 1533-position model. The record is from RNAcentral.
GAUGAACGCUGGCGGCGUGCCUAACACAUGCAAGUCGAACGAAGCAUCUUAUAGGAAGUUUUCGGAUGGAAUAUGGGAUGACUGAGUGGCGGACGGGUGAGUAACGCGUGGAUAACCUGCCUCACACUGGGGGAUAACAGUUAGAAAUGGCUGCUAAUACCGCAUAAGCGCACAGUACCGCAUGGUACGGUGUGAAAAACCCAGGUGGUGUGAGAUGGAUCCGCGUCUGAUUAGCCAGUUGGCGGGGUAACGGCCCACCAAAGCGACGAUCAGUAGCCGACCUGAGAGGGUGACCGGCCACAUUGGGACUGAGACACGGCCCAAACUCCUACGGGAGGCAGCAGUGGGGAAUAUUGCACAAUGGGCGAAAGCCUGAUGCAGCGACGCCGCGUGAGUGAAGAAGUAUCUCGGUAUGUAAAGCUCUAUCAGCAGGGAAGAAAAUGACGGUACCUGACUAAGAAGCCCCGGCUAACUACGUGCCAGCAGCCGCGGUAAUACGUAGGGGGCAAGCGUUAUCCGGAUUUACUGGGUGUAAAGGGAGCGUAGACGGCGAUGCAAGUCUGAAGUGAAAGCCCGGGGCUCAACCCCGGGACUGCUUUGGAAACUGUGUGGCUGGAGUGCAGGAGAGGUAAGUGGAAUUCCUAGUGUAGCGGUGAAAUGCGUAGAUAUUAGGAGGAACACCAGUGGCGAAGGCGGCUUACUGGACUGUAACUGACGUUGAGGCUCGAAAGCGUGGGGAGCAAACAGG